UCCUUCAUGUGCGGAUCACAAGUGAAUGUUCAGAUAUGAAGACGUCUCGUGUUCUGCUGUUUGUUUUCAUUUGUUUGUUUGUUUCGUUACAGCAGUCCAGUCAAACAGACUCCGGCUCUUUUCUGAUCUACAACAAGGAUCACAACAAAUGUGUGAAUGUGGUUAAUGCCAAUGUGGUGCAGACGGCAGCGUGUGACGUCUCUUCUGAUGCUCAGCGUUUCCGAUGGGUUUCAUCUUCAAGAAUCAUCAGUGUCUCUCUUAAAUUAUGCUUAGGAGCUCAAGACAUCAAAAACUGGGCGAAAAUUAUUCUUCUGCCCUGUAAAGAACACAGUCCUUUACAGACCUGGGAAUGUAAGAACGAGACCUUGUUUGGAUUAAAAGAUCAACCGUUACACCUGAACUACGGCAAUCGAGAGGAAAAGAAUAUGGUGCUGUUUAGUGGAAGUGGUGGUUGGAGUCACUGGCAGAUUUAUGGGAGUCAAGACGAUCUGUGUUCUCAUGGAUAUCAAGAGAUGUAUACUCUGGCUGGGAAUUCAUUUGGAAAACCAUGUCAGUUCCCCUUUAAGUUUAAUGACAAGUGGUUUGCCGAGUGUAUCGUGGAGGGAAGAUCAGAUGGCCAACCGUGGUGUUCAACUGAGACAGAUUAUAACACGGACAAGAAAUGGGGCUUCUGUCCAACCAAAGGCGUGUCAGGAUGGGACAGUGAUCCAGUCAGUGGUGUUUUGUAUCAGAGGAACACACAGUCAGUAUUGACGUGGCAUCAAGCUCGAACCAGCUGCCAACAGCAAGAUGCAGAUCUUCUCAGUAUAUCAGAACUCCACGAGCACUCGUAUAUAGCAGGUCUGACAGAUCACAUGGGUUCAGUUCUAUGGAUCGGUCUGAACAGUCUUGACUUUGAGAGCGGCUGGCAAUGGAGUAAUGGAAACCCAUUCAGAUAUCUCAACUGGGCUCCUGGUCACCCGUCUCUGGAGCCGGGUCUGAACUGUGCUGCAUUAAACGCUGCUAAAGCCUCAAAGUGGGAAAGUUUGUCCUGCAGUAAGAAGUUGGGCUACAUCUGCCGCAAGGGCAAUUCAACAGAGAUCACACCUUCAACAGGUAAAGAUCAGCCGAUCUUCUGUCCAGCGGCGUGGGUGCCGUACGCCGGUCACUGUUAUUAUCUGCAGCGCUCUCAGAAGAUGUGGAGCGACGCUUUGGCAGCGUGUCAUAAAGAAGGAUCAGAUCUGGCCAGCAUACACAACAUCGAGGAGCACAGUUUCAUCAUAUCACAGAGUGGAUACUUGUCCAGUGAUGAGCUGUGGAUUGGUCUUAAUGAUCAGAACAUUCAGAAUCUGUUUGAGUGGUCAGAUAGAAAACACGUCAGCUUCACCAGAUGGAUUGUUGGAGAACCUUCACACAUCAACAGUCGCAUGGAGGAUUGUGUGCUUAUGAAGGGAAAGGAGGGAAAGUGGGCAGAUGAAGCGUGUGAAGCAGCUCAUGGUUACAUCUGUAAGAAGAAAGCUUCCAUUAAACCUGAAGGAUCCACACACAUGAUCAGUCCUGGAUGUCCUGCUGGUUGGUUCAGGUUUGGCUAUUACUGUUAUAAUGUUGCCAUGGAAACCAAAACUUUUGAUGAUGCCAAACUGACAUGCGAGCAGAGCGCAGCGAGGCUGGUGGAUGUUGCCAGCAGGUAUGAGAAUGCGUUUCUCAUCAGUCUGGUUGGUCUUCGGCCUGAGAAAUAUUUCUGGAUUGGUCUCUCUAAUACUCAACAGUUGGCGCUCUUCCAGUGGACUGAUGGUGUUAAAGUCAAGUUUACACACUUUAAUGUCGGCAUGCCAGGUAGGCACCAGGGUUGCGUGGCAAUGUUAACAGGAUCUUCAGCAGGAUUAUGGGAUGUUCUGGCCUGUAACACUAAACAGAAAUACUUCUGUAAGAAAAUGGCAGAAGGAAUCACUAUAACCCCAGAGCCUCCAACCACACAACCUCCCAGCUGCCCAAAAGACUGGAUUAAAAAAGAUCCACACAACUGCAUUCAGCUUUAUAAAAGGCAGACGGACGAAAAGAAGACUUGGUUUGAGGCUCGGGAUUUCUGUCGAGCUGUCGGUGGUGAUUUAGCAAGCUUCCACUCCGAAGAAGAAAUAAAAGUGUUACCGCAUUCCAGCACUGACCCGGCGUGGAUUGGCUUCACUUCACUGGACAGUAAUUCUGGUUUUGUUUGGUCAGAUCAAACUCCUUCUGAUUAUGAAAACUGGGGCUUCGGAGAACCAAACAACCAUAAUGAUCAGGAACACUGUGCAGAAUCUGCUUUUUAUUUUGGACGCAGGUGGAAUGAUCGAGACUGUGAAUCUUAUAGCGACUGGAUCUGUCAGAUUCCAAUAGGAAUCACUCCCAAAUCUCCACCGACCACAGUGAUUCAAGAAUACAACAAGACUUCUGAUGGCUGGAUCGUGUUCAAUGGCAGUCAGUACUUUAUUAAUACUGAUCAGCAUCCUAUGGAAGAAGCUCGAGCUUUCUGUAAGAAGAAUCAUGCUGAUCUUGCCGUCAUGACUGGUGAAACCGAGAGGAAGUUUAUAUGGAAGCAGAUAUCUAGAGGAUCAGAAUCUCAGUUCUACAUUGGUUUGAUUGUAGAGCUGGACAAAUCAUUUAGUUGGGUGGACGGUUCACCUGUUGUUUACACUGCCUGGGAUAACAAUGAACCAAAUUUUGCCAACAAUGACGAGAACUGUGUGACCAUUUAUAAAAGCAUGGGAUUCUGGAAUGAUAUCAACUGUGGCCUGCCAUUGUCCUCUAUCUGUAAAAGAAGUUCAGAUUUUGUCAACACCACCAGUUCUCCAUCUACUGUAGCGGCGGGCGGCUGUGCUCCGGAAUGGACGCGUUUCCGCGGAAAAUGUUAUAAGUUUUUUGAUAAUAAGAUGACGUGGCAUGACGCACGAGAUCGUUGCAUUUCACAUGGAGGUAAUCUGGUGUCCAUCCAGAGUCACACAGAGCAAUCAUUUCUCACAACUCUGAUGCUCAGUUCUGCUGAUGACGUGUGGACGGGAUUGAACGACGUCAAUUGGGAGAUGCACUUUAUGUGGACUGAUGGAAGAAGCGUCAGAUACACAAACUGGAUGAAAGGUCAACCCUCGUCAUGGCCUCAUUCAAGACAUUUCAAAAGGGAAACAAGUCUGCAAACUCUUAAUGUCGGCAGUUGGGAGAGAUUAAUUGAACGUUCGUAUAUGUUUGAAGAGCAGAACUAUGACUGCGUUGUCAUGACUAGAAGUCCAGAGAAGUUGACCGGUAUGUGGAAAGUUGAAGUGUGUAAAGAUGAGAGAGGUUUCAUCUGCAAGAGGAACACGGACUCUCAGCUGUCUGCUCCCGUGACCACAGCAGUGCCGCAGAGAUUCUUCAGUCUGGGCAACGAUUCAUACAAGGUGCAGCAGGUGAAGAUGAGCUGGGAUGAAGCCAGAAGAGAGUGUAAAGCAGAUGAUGCUGAUCUUGCUAGUGUGCUGGACUCCAUCAGUCAGGCGUACAGCAGCCUCAGAGUCGACACCAUCAGAGAACCUUUGUGGAUCGGCCUCAACAGCAACCUGACAGGUGGACGGUAUCGCUGGGUGGAUAACUGGCUUCUAAGCUACAGUAAAUGGGCCGCAGGAGAACCCAGAAACAAUUUAGCUUGUGUUUAUAUCGACACGGAUGGCGACUGGAAAACUGCAGCGUGCAACAACACAUAUUAUUCCCUCUGCAAACGAUCAAAAGUUAUUGCCCCCACAGAUCCUCCUCAGCUGCCGGGUAACUGCCCCGAAUCAAAGAAGCGUAAAGGUUGGAUCCCAUUUAGAGGACACUGUUAUACAUUCAUGACCUCCAUGAGAGAAACCUGGGCUCAUGCCACAGUUGAAUGUAUGAGAAUGGGUGCAUCUUUAGUCAAUAUUGAGGACCCAAUAGAAUCAAAGUUUAUCCGUGAGAAUCUGGAGAUCCUUCAAGAUGAAGUCGGCUCAAUCUGGAUCGGAAUGCACCGCAGUCAUACGGGUGAAUGGAUGUGGAUUGAUAGUUCGGUUGUGGAUUACACGAACUGGAAACCGCGGAUGCCAAAUAACGUUGGUGACUGUGUGGAAGUUCAGUCAAACACUGGAAUGUGGAGCAACAGCAACUGUAAUAAUCGCAGAGCUUAUAUCUGCAAGACUGCUAAAGUCAUACCACCAACAGAGAAGCCGUCAGUGUCAGAGCGUCAUGUAGAAGAGACGUCUCACGGUUCGGCUGGCAUCGCUGUAGGGGUGGUGUUGAUCAUCAUCGCUGUUGCAGGUGUUUCCGGCUUUCUGUUCUUUAAAAGAAUUCCCAGACCUGUGAUUGGACAGCGUGCAUUUGACAACAGACUCUAUAGCAAUUCUGAUCUGUCACGACCGCCUACAACUAUUGAUACUAAAGGACUCGUCGCCAACAUUGAACAAAAUGAACACGCUUAAUGCAUAAACACACAUAUAUAGUUCUCAUUGUAAAUGUAGCCAGUUUAAAAUAAAGUUUGACAACAUGUCAGCAGUUCAGUAGGUUGAUGUAGUGUUGCGUAUCUGGAAUGAGUAUCAGAGAACCCACAAUGUGCUCAUAAACUUGUAUCGGUUUUAUAAAGCUUGUUUUGUAUUGUAAAUGGUAUAUUUUAUGUUUUAUCGCUUAUAACAGCUAACAAUAAUUGAGUUUUACUGUUUUAUCUAGAACACUCCCAGUGAUUUAAGAUUAUGGGAUGGUUAUAAUUUUUUCUCUGGUGGCAUUUUAGCACUUUAGGCGUUUAUUUGUAGCAGUGAACUGAUACGAUUUAAAUGAAUUUCUUACAAGAUUUUCAACAGAAAAGAUGCAAAUGUCUUAUAAAUCACGAGAAAAGUAUUCUGUAAAAGCGUUUUUCUAAUGGACCUCUUAGUGGGAAUUGUGGUAAUGUGUUUGAGUAGAUGUAGUCUCAAUGUCCAAGGCUUUUUAUUGAGAAAGUUUUGCAUAUUGUGACUGUGUUUUUGUUAAGGUUUGUGCACUGGUUUAUCUAAGGAAUCGUCAGAGUCCAGUAGACCAGAGGACACCUGGUUUUACAGAGAGAGAAAGUGAGCGAUCUCCUCUUAACACUUCAAUAUCCAGAACACACUGCGGCGACCCAGAACCUCUGUCAACAUGUGUCAAAUACCACAGCCCGUCCUCCUCUGACAUUACAGUCAAUGUGUUAAAUGUGAUUUUUAACAUAAUUAACGUUACCUGCAGAAAUAUUGAAUCUAGAGGAUGAUGUUAUAUUAGAUCUUACAAAAUAAAGUUUUGCAUC
Triplophysa dalaica is the source of this 5248-nucleotide RNA transcript. It is a transcript of the gene named macrophage mannose receptor 1-like, with no coding region annotated. The transcript has 32 exons. Lineage: Eukaryota; Metazoa; Chordata; Actinopteri; Cypriniformes; Nemacheilidae. The record is from RefSeq and is a predicted model, not a curated record.